This 1006-nucleotide long non-coding RNA is filed under the name Homo sapiens (human). RNAcentral's name for it is "HSALNT0287708". The stretch from base 358 to 657 matches the Rfam family "Metazoan signal recognition particle RNA". The record is from RNAcentral. Lineage: Eukaryota; Metazoa; Chordata; Mammalia; Primates; Hominidae.
CUGCCAGGUGUGGUGGCACAUGCCUGUAGUCCUAGCUACUCAGGAGGCUGCAGCAGGAGAAUUGUUUGAGCCCAGGAGUUCUGGGCUGUAGUAUGCCAGGCCGAUCAGGUGUCCACAAAAAGCUCAGCAUCAGUAUCCUGGGAAUGGAGGACCACUAGGUUGUCUAGGGAGGAAUGAACCAGCCCAGGCUGGAAAUGGAGCAGGUUAAAACUUCCAUGCUAGCCAGGUGCGGUGGCUCACCCCUGUAGUCUAGCACUUUGGGAGGCUGUCAUGGGAGGAUCCCUUGAGCCUAGGAGUUCGAGAUGAGCCUGAGCAACAUAGGGAGACCCUGUCUCUACGAAAAAUUUUUAAAAAUUAGCCAGGCAUGGUAGUACACACCUGUAUUCCUAGCUACUGGGGAGGCUGAGGCAGGAGGACCACUUGAGCCCAGGAUUUCUGGGCUGUGGUAUGCUAUUCUGAUCUGGUGUCUUCACUAAACUCAGCAUCAAUAUGGUAAUCUCCUGGGAGCAGGAGACCACCAGGUUUCCUAAGGAAGAGUGAACCAGCCCAGCUCAGAAACAGAGCAAAUAAAAACUCCCAUGCUGAUCAGUAGUAGGAUCGCUCCGUGAAAAGCCACUGCACUUCCAGCCAGGGUCACAUAGCAAGACCCCACCUUAAAAAAAAAAAACAAACCCGAAAACCGGAGCUGGGGAAGGCCAUGAAGGGAAGGUUCUCAUGUGUGAUGCCUGAUAGCAAAACCCAUCAUGAGACUGCAAAAACUAUAACCCUGUACAACGGCUAUCAUCACCAGAGUGAUAUAGUUUUUGCAGUCUCAUCACCUUACACACAGAAAAUACUUCUGUGAACACAUCUACCCAGCAGCUGCUUGUCCAAAUUUGGACUGAUGCCACCUUUGUUAUUAAUCCUUGUAGCCAAGAAUAAUUACCUGAAAACAAUUAUGUAAUUCUCAUUUUUUCUUUAAAAACUUUUCUCAGCCGGGCACAGUGGUUCACACCUGUAAUCCCAG